UAUGAUUCACAUCAGAAACAUGGCGUCGCGAAGGAAGUCUGGAAGCGGCGUUCUUGAAAAAGGUGCCAAUGGAAGACGGUCUUCAAAACUUAAAGAUGGGCCCAUAGGCUGAGCUUCUACUGAGUGGGCAGAAUGGACAGCAUGAAUUCAGACAAGGGUAAAAUCAUGGCUCCUCUGCCUAAAUCCUAUGUGUGCAUGUGUGUGUCUUUUCUGUAGUGUAUGCAUGAUAUGCUGUUGUUAACUUGCCGUGUUUUAAUGUUUCAUCUGUGUUUAUAAAGUCUGUGAGUGUUUGCAGUAACUCUUGAGUUAUUUACUACAUUGUAUUGAAAGCUUUACUCAUGUAUCAUCACUGCAUAAGAAAAACACUUAAUGUUCCCUUUUACUUGGGCAUAUUAUUGGCAUAAUAAUUGAUUAUCAUUAGUUGCUGUUGUUUUUUCUGCUGUGGCGACCCCUAAAGGGAGCAGCCGAAAGAAGAAUAAGAAGAAGAAGUUCCUUUUGUUUUUGUAAUCUUCAAUAUCAUUAGGACUAAUCCCAAAAUAUGAAACAGUCAAAAACAUGAGUAAGCAGAGAUUAAAAUACGUUUUCCUGUUUACUUUUCACUUAUG
This is a long non-coding RNA of Pygocentrus nattereri (red-bellied piranha), 605 nucleotides long. The record is from Ensembl. NCBI's taxonomy places the organism in Eukaryota, Metazoa, Chordata, Actinopteri, Characiformes, Serrasalmidae.